RNAcentral lists this ribosomal RNA (440 nucleotides) under uncultured bacterium. RNAcentral's name for it is "partial 16S ribosomal RNA". It matches the Rfam family "Bacterial small subunit ribosomal RNA", at positions 338 to 795 of the family's 1533-position model. The record is from RNAcentral.
CCUACGGGUGGCAGCAGUAGGGAAUAUUGCUCAAUGGGGGAAAGCCUGAAGCAGCAACGCCGCGUGGAGGAUGACGGUUUUCGGAUUGUAAACUCCUUUUGUUAGAGAAGAUAAUGACGGUAUCUAACGAAUAAGCACCGGCUAACUCCGUGCCAGCAGCCGCGGUACUACGGAGGGUGCAAGAGUUACUCGGAAUCACUGGGGGUAAAGAGCGCGUAGGCGGGAUAGCAAGUCAGAGGUGAAAUCCUAUGGCUUAACCAUAGAACUGCAUUUGAAACUGUUAUUCUAGAGUAUGGGAGAGGUAGGUGGAAUGCUUGGUGUAGGGGUAAAAUCCGUAGAGAUCAAGAGGAAUACUCAUUGCGAAGGCGACCUGCUAGAACAUAACUGACGCUGAUGCGCGAAAGCGUGGGGAGCAAACAGGAUUAGAUACCCCAGUAGUC